This 460-nucleotide ribosomal RNA is filed under the name uncultured bacterium. Its description in RNAcentral is "partial 16S ribosomal RNA". It matches the Rfam family "Bacterial small subunit ribosomal RNA", at positions 338 to 795 of the family's 1533-position model. The record is from RNAcentral.
CCUACGGGUGGCAGCAGUGAGGAAUAUUGGUCAAUGGACGAGAGUCUGAACCAGCCAAGUAGCGUGAAGGAUGACUGCCCUAUGGGUUGUAAACUUCUUUUAUAUGGGAAUAAAAUGUUCCACGUGUGGGAUUUUGUAUGUACCAUAUGAAUAAGGAUCGGCUAACUCCGUGCCAGCAGCCGCGGUAAUACGGAGGAUCCGAGCGUUACCCGGAUUUAUUGGGUUUAAAGGGAGCGUAGGUGGAUUGUUAAGUCAGUUGUGAAAGUUUGCGGCUCAACCGUAAAAUUGCAGUUGAAACUGGCAGUCUUGAGUACAGUAGAGGUGGGCGGAAUUCGUGGUGUAGCGGUGAAAUGCUUAGAUAUCACGAAGAACUCCGAUUGCGAAGGCAGUUCACUGGACUGCAACUGACACUGAGGCUCGAAAGUGUGGGUAUCAAACAGGAUUAGAUACCCUAGUAGUC